Molecule: ribosomal RNA, 440 nt
Filed under: uncultured bacterium
Lineage: Bacteria
Description: bacterial SSU rRNA
Rfam family: Bacterial small subunit ribosomal RNA
Source: RNAcentral
GCUAAACGCGAAGAACCUUACCAGGCCUUGACAUGUCCAGUUUGAUCGGCAGAGAUGCCUUUCUUCACUUCGGGUGGCUGGAACACAGGUGCUGCAUGGCUGUCGUCAGCUCGUGUCGUGAGAUGUUGGGUUAAGUCCCGCAACGAGCGCAACCCUCGCCCUUAGUUGCCAUCAUUAAGUUGGGAACUCUAAGGGAACUGCCCGUGAUAAGCGGGAGGAAGGUGGGGACGACGUCAAGUCAUCAUGGCCCUUACGGCCUGGGCCACACACGUGCUACAAUGGCGGUGACAAUGGGCAGCAAACUCGCGAGAGUAAGCGAAUCCCUAAAAGCCGUCUCAGUUCGGAUUGUACUCUGCAACUCGAGUACAUGAAGUUGGAAUCGCUAGUAAUCGUAGAUCAGCAUGCUACGGUGAAUACGUUCCCGGGUCUUGUACACACCG